Molecule: ribosomal RNA, 253 nt
Filed under: uncultured bacterium
Lineage: Bacteria
Description: partial 16S ribosomal RNA
Rfam family: Bacterial small subunit ribosomal RNA
Source: RNAcentral
UACAGAGGUCUCAAGCGUUGUUCAGAUUCAUUGGGCGUAAAGGGCGCGUAGGCGGCGAGGUAAGUCGGGUGUGAAAUCUCAGAGCUCAACUCUGAAACUGCACUCGAUACUGCUUUGCUAGAGGACUGGAGAGGAGAUUGGAAUUCACGGUGUAGCAGUGAAAUGCGUAGAGAUCGUGAGGAAGACCAGUGGCGAAGGCGGAUCUCUGGACAGUUCCUGACGCUGAGGCGCGAAGGCCAGGGGAGCAAACGGG